AGAGUUUGAUCCUGGCUCAGAUUGAACGCUGGCGGCAUGCCUUACACAUGCAAGUCGAACGGUAACGGGCCUUCGGGUGCCGACGAGUGGCGAACGGGUGAGUAAUGCAUCGGAACGUACCUUCAGUGGGGAUAACGUAGCGAAAGUUACGCUGAUACCGCAUAUUCUGUGAGCAGGAAAGCAGGGGAUCGCAAGACCUUGCGCUGAUUGAGCGGCCGAUGUCAGAUUAGCUAGUUGGUGAGGUAAAGGCUCACCAAGGCGACGAUCUGUAGCGGGUCUGAGAGGAUGAUCCGCCACACUGGAACUGAGACACGGUCCAGACUCCUACGGGAGGCAGCAGUGGGGAAUUUUGGACAAUGGGGCAACCCUGAUCCAGCCAUGCCGCGUGAGUGAAGAAGGCCUUCGGGUUGUAAAGCUCUUUCGGCCGGGAAGAAAUCGCAUGGGUUAAUACCCUGUGCGGAUGACGGUACCGGCAUAAGAAGCACCGGCUAACUACGUG
This 499-nucleotide ribosomal RNA is filed under the name uncultured bacterium. RNAcentral's name for it is "bacterial SSU rRNA". It matches the Rfam family "Bacterial small subunit ribosomal RNA", at positions 8 to 507 of the family's 1533-position model. The record is from RNAcentral.